CUGACUUAACCCUGAAUACUAGCAAGUCGCUCCAGCCCUCGUUUCCCUGGGAACACCAGUUUGGCAUCCUAGAGCAAGCUGUGGUUAAUGGCUGUUUCCAAGGAGAGCAAAAAUGCCCCAGAAGUGAAGCUGUGCAAGGAGUGGGUGGAGGAGGAGAUCACUGCAGCCUUUGCAGAACAAGGCCUGUUUCUGUUUUCCUGGCUGUGGUUAACUGGAGCUACUUGAAUCAAAUCCCCGGCUUUGUGAACAGCUAAAGAGGACAGCAGGGAUAGAGAUUCAACAUUGUUCAUCCAGAUCAGCCUUUGUCCAUUGGUUUCUAUGAUAGAUGAGGAUUUUCUGACCACUUGAGAACACAGGACUAAGCGAACAGGAGGAGCUUAAGUGCAGUUGUGCUCUGAAUCCAGUGUCCUGAAGGCACUGGAUUCAGGCACUGGAAAAUGGGCACGUUCUCUUCAAUCUGUUUCCUUCCACAUGAGCUUCACAUACAUCUUUUAUCACGGCAAUCCUUUCAACAGUCUUCCCUUGAAGAUGGACCAAAUAUGAGCUGGGAUUGGAAAGGCUGGGUUUGGAAAAGAUUUGCAGUGUCCCUCCCUAAUACAUCCUUUCUGCCUCCUGCACUAUGAAAACAAGACCUUAGAACCCAGGCAGUUUUCUUGGGUCUUCCAGAAUUUAAAUCAACUGGAGGGCUUAAGAGAGGUGGGAGAGAAUAGCGGCAUGGAGUGAAGAAAUAUGAAGAAAGGAAAGAUUCUUAUGUGUUCCUGAGGCAUGAUGCCAGCUAUUAUAGCCACAGAUUUCUGAACAGCUUAUUUUUUCAUUCAGUAUUGAAUUGCAGAGUAAAUACAAUGUAAUUCUCCUUCGGUUCAUGGAUCAAUUUGUAAUGGAAGGUACAUAUGCGUGAACAAGAUAGACAAUGGUACAGAAAAAUGGUGUUUAGUACCAAUACCACUGGAAGUGAGAACUGGGCCUUACCUUUGUACUUUGGAUUGGAUACUUUUGUCAUGAGCAAAUCUUUACUCAGUUCUAUCCUCCCUUUCUCAACAGCCAGCCAAAAGGUAAUA
This 1058-nucleotide long non-coding RNA is filed under the name Struthio camelus australis. RNAcentral's name for it is "lncRNA (ENSSCUG00000005376.1)". Lineage: Eukaryota; Metazoa; Chordata; Aves; Struthioniformes; Struthionidae. The record is from RNAcentral.